GUGUGACAGGUGCACCUGUCCUAGUGCUGGGCAGUUAGGAUUCCAACAACAUUGGUACUUGACCGCUUCACUCUCUCCAGCCGCUGCCCUUUGGUCUGCCCUGGACCCUGGCACAGGCAACUGCACUGACCUGGAGCACAGAGUCCUCCUCACCUUGCAGGACUCCUGCCCACGACACACUCAAGCAGCUCUUCAAGAAUUUUGCCUGCAUGUACGCCUGCACGCCAGAACAGAUCCCAUUACAGAUGGUUGUGAGCCACCAUGUGGUUGCUAGGAAUUGAACUGAGGACCUCUGGAAGAGCAACAGUAUUCUUAACCACUGAGCCAUCUCUCGAAUCCUUCUACUUAUCAAUCUUUACUUCCUUUCUGGGAAGACAGAUUGGAUCCAAGAAUUGACCCUGACCCCCUGGAAGCAGGAAGCAUCGUUAAAAUAAAAGCAAAUUGUUUGUUGGUUUUUUAAAAU
This 463-nucleotide long non-coding RNA is filed under the name Rattus norvegicus (Norway rat). Its description in RNAcentral is "long non-coding RNA NONRATT019077". Lineage: Eukaryota; Metazoa; Chordata; Mammalia; Rodentia; Muridae. The record is from RNAcentral.